AAAGAAGUUCGUUUUUAGCUAUAAAAAAAGAGUUCAUUUUUAGCUAAUUAACUAGGACUUCUGUGAAUAAAUUUCACACAGAUUCUUAUUGAUAAUGGCAUAAGUAUAUGUGCACACACAAAAAAAAUGGCAUAUCUAUUAUGUACAUGAGGACCAAAUGUAUAUAUAUAUAUAUAUAUAUAUGUCAAGUAGAAAAGAAGAAGACGAACCAAGAAUGAGAGCGGCAGUGAUCCAACCACCGGUUUUGGAUUUGUCGGCAGGUCGUCCUUUGUAGUCUACGGCAUCAGCCACUGUCCAACUCCCUUUGCUCUCCUGAAAACAACGACGUACGUCAAUCCAAAGUUCCCGAAUCUUAUAACCAAUAGUUUACGACCACAGAAGCAAAUAAUGAUGGACAGGAGACUGCCUUUUUAUAGCCACAAAAUGAAUGAAAGAGGGCUAGCACCGACCUUCCACUAUAUGUGAUUUGGGACAUAUCGCAAAAACGUGAAAUCUUUGAGAUAGGUUCAUCACACUUUUUUCCCCAACUUUAAAAUAUUUCUUAAUUUAUAUUUCGAAAUUAUUUUUGGCUCUUUUUAAUUUUUUUCUUUAAUUUUCUAUUUUCUUAUUUGUUGUAAAUUUUCUCUUUUAUGAUGAUAACUUAUUUAUUCGACCCAAACUCUGGGUCCCAAAGACACAUACA
This is a long non-coding RNA of Arabidopsis thaliana (thale cress), 682 nucleotides long. RefSeq annotates it as other RNA. The record is from RefSeq. Lineage: Eukaryota; Viridiplantae; Streptophyta; Magnoliopsida; Brassicales; Brassicaceae. The transcript is spliced from 2 exons.